GAUGAACGCUGGCGGCGUGCCUAAUACAUGCAAGUCGAGCGAACAGACGAGGAGCUUGCUCCUCUGACGUUAGCGGCGGACGGGUGAGUAACACGUGGAUAACCUACCUAUAAGACUGGGAUAACUUCGGGAAACCGGAGCUAAUACCGGAUAAUAUAUUGAACCGCAUGGUUCAAUAGUGAAAGACGGUUUUGCUGUCACUUAUAGAUGGAUCCGCGCCGCAUUAGCUAGUUGGUAAGGUAACGGCUUACCAAGGCGACGAUGCGUAGCCGACCUGAGAGGGUGAUCGGCCACACUGGAACUGAGACACGGUCCAGACUCCUACGGGAGGCAGCAGUAGGGAAUCUUCCGCAAUGGGCGAAAGCUUGACGGAGCAACGCCGCGUGAGUGAUGAAGGUCUUCGGAUCGUAAAACUCUGUUAUUAGGGAAGGACAAAUGUGUAAGUAACUAUGCACGUCUUGACGGUACCUAAUCAGAAAGCCACGGCUAACUACGUG
Molecule: ribosomal RNA, 497 nt
Filed under: uncultured bacterium
Lineage: Bacteria
Description: partial 16S ribosomal RNA
Rfam family: Bacterial small subunit ribosomal RNA
Source: RNAcentral